Molecule: ribosomal RNA, 380 nt
Filed under: uncultured eukaryote
Lineage: Eukaryota
Description: partial 18S ribosomal RNA
Rfam family: Eukaryotic small subunit ribosomal RNA
Source: RNAcentral
CAAUAGCGUAUAUUAAAGUUGUUGCAGUUAAAAAGCUCGUAGUUGGAUUUGUGGCGUACGGUGUGUUCCGGGCACUUGUUGUCUGAGUAACCUGCUGUUGCCAUCCUUGGGUGGAACCUGUGUGGCAUUAGGUUGUCGUGCAGGGGAUGCCCAUCAUUUACUGUGAAAAAAUUAGAGUGUUCAAAGCAGGCUUAUGCCGUUGAAUAUAUUAGCAUGGAAUAAUGAGAUAGGACUUUUUUGCUAUUUUGUUGGUUUGCGCAAGAAGGUAAUGAUUAAUAGGGACAGUUGGGGGUAUUCGUAUUCCAUUGUCAGAGGUGAAAUUCUUGGAUUUUUGGAAGACGAACUACUGCGAAAGCAUUUACCAAGGAUGUAUUCAUUAA